ACUUUGUUCAGCGUUAAAUAUACCACUUUCUUUUUAUUUUUUAUUAGUUGACUUUGGAUCAGCUAUAGAGCAUUUUACCUGGAUUCAUUUCAGGCUAUUGGACUUAUAAUUGCAUGAACUCUUUUAUUUGUCUUGCCAGGGAAGAUUGGCAAGAUAUAGCUGAUUACCUGGGGUGUUUUCCACGGGUGCAGCAAUAGAUGUUUAUCCAAGAUAUAAUGUGACCUUGGCUGGAUUGGUGUGUGGAGACAUCUGCCUUUUUGUCAUCUGGGAAGCUUCUGUGUUUGGGUGCACUGCACAGCUCCUUUGCUUUUCCUGGGCUGAAAACUUUAGAAACCAAAUGUUUUGUUUCCCAAGGUCAAACAACAUUUAUCCAGAGGGAAAGGAAUGGAGUGAACCUCAGGCCUGAUACCAGGAGACCAGGAGAAGAGUACACAGGGAGGUUGUGAUGCAGAGACAAUGGCUGGGGGCCCCACAUGGGCAGCAUCACUUUUGGGGUCCCUGUGCAGGACCCAAAUUCCUUCCAUCAUGUUCAUUUCUGUUGCUUCCCUGAGCUCCUGUUCUCUGUGCUACCAACCUUUUUGUGGGGGUGUAAAAGUCCUAGUGUGGAGUGGAGCUGAAGCUGGUAUGAAUCAGAGCAGCUGGUGUGUCUUCAGUGGACCUACCCCUGGCAACAUCUCUUGUGGGUCUGACACUGAAAUGAAGGAUAUACAGACAGAGAUGGCCAUGUAUGUGUCCUGGUAA
This 741-nucleotide long non-coding RNA is filed under the name Cyanistes caeruleus (blue tit). Its description in RNAcentral is "lncRNA (ENSCCEG00000019907.1)". Lineage: Eukaryota; Metazoa; Chordata; Aves; Passeriformes; Paridae. The record is from RNAcentral.